This 71-nucleotide transfer RNA is filed under the name Loxodonta africana (African savanna elephant). It matches the Rfam family "tRNA". From Rfam's summary of the family: Transfer RNA (tRNA) molecules are approximately 80 nucleotides in length. Lineage: Eukaryota; Metazoa; Chordata; Mammalia; Proboscidea; Elephantidae. The record is from Rfam by way of RNAcentral.
GCAUUGGUGGUUCAGUGGUAGAAUUGUCAUCUUCUAUGUGGGAGACCCGGGUUCGAUUCCCAGUCAAUGCA